This 88-nucleotide non-coding RNA is filed under the name Mammaliicoccus lentus. Its description in RNAcentral is "TPP riboswitch (THI element)". It matches the Rfam family "TPP riboswitch aptamer (THI element)". From Rfam's summary of the family: Vitamin B(1) in its active form thiamin pyrophosphate (TPP) is an essential coenzyme that is synthesised by coupling of pyrimidine and thiazole moieties in bacteria. The previously detected thiamin-regulatory element, thi box was extended, resulting in a new, highly conserved RNA secondary structure, the THI element, which is widely distributed in eubacteria and also occurs in some archaea. The record is from RNAcentral. Lineage: Bacteria; Bacillati; Bacillota; Bacilli; Caryophanales; Staphylococcaceae.
CUACUAGGGGCGCCUAUAGGCUGAGAUGAAUUCGUUCAGUCCCUUAUACCUGAUUUGGAUAAUGCCAACGUAGGAAAGUGGUCAAUUA